Molecule: long non-coding RNA, 395 nt
Organism: Rhagoletis pomonella (apple maggot)
Lineage: Eukaryota; Metazoa; Arthropoda; Insecta; Diptera; Tephritidae
Exons: 2
Source: RefSeq, a predicted model, not a curated record
AAGCCGACAUCACCGGAAGGACGUGCUCAAUUUGUGGACUUUAUUUUGCCUCAAAAAUUUCUAUGAACAACCAUCGAAAAAACGUGCAUGGUGGUGCGGUGGAUGACGUGUCUCGCGUGCGACCUCUGCGGGUUCUCUCUAGGAGACCACAGGAGGCCUUGUGUGUCAUAAAGGAAAGCGUGGAGUGGAUAGAUGUCGAGGCUGUCAAUGAAGAGAUAAUAAUCACGUCUGAGGAAACUCCCGAUGUUACCGCCCCCGUGAUCUACGAUGUAUCCGAGUGGAUUGAUGCUGGGAAGGUGUUUGUUGAAGAUGAUUGAGAUGGAAAAUAAAGGUAUGAAAGCACUCCUGCCGUCACGCAGCAAGCGCCGUGUUAAUAGAGACAAUUAUAAGCCAAA